GUGAAUCAUCGAAUCUUUGAACGCACCUUGCGCUCCCGGCAGAUCUAAUCUGGGGAGCAUGCCCGUCUGAGGGCCGCGAAUUGUUUCGAACGACAGCUUUUUUCUUUGGAGAAUCGCUGGCGGAUCGGUAUUGAGGGUCUUGCCAUUUACAGUGGCUCCCUCGAAAUGCAUUAGCAUGACAAUAUACUUCGAAUCGAGUGGUGACAGGGAUUGAUUUCCCUCUCCCGACCGGGUUUUGAUAACAUCAAGGCUUCGGUGGUGAGAGGCAGUCCUCUGACACGACUUGGCAAUGAAGGUCAU
This 300-nucleotide unclassified non-coding RNA is filed under the name uncultured Ustilago. RNAcentral describes it as "sequence contains 5.8S rRNA gene, ITS2". Lineage: Eukaryota; Fungi; Basidiomycota; Ustilaginomycetes; Ustilaginales; Ustilaginaceae. The record is from RNAcentral.